This 517-nucleotide ribosomal RNA is filed under the name Tetraonchus monenteron. RNAcentral describes it as "bacterial SSU rRNA". It matches the Rfam family "Eukaryotic small subunit ribosomal RNA", at positions 1343 to 1831 of the family's 1831-position model. The record is from RNAcentral. Lineage: Eukaryota; Metazoa; Platyhelminthes; Monogenea; Gyrodactylidea; Tetraonchidae.
CUAACCUGCUAAAUAGUAUGGCUGUAUUUUUGUGCGGACCACCGUUCUUCGGGCUCAUGUCUGUUGAAUGGUACCGCAUAAGCAGUCAAGACUUCUUAGAGGGACAGGUGGAUAAUAAAAACCACACGAGAAAGAGCAAUAACAGGUCUGUAAUGCCCUAAGAUGUUCGGGGCCGCACGCGUGCUACAAUGACGGUGCUAGAGAGAAUGACAUUCUGGCUCGAAAGAGUUGGACAAACUUGUCAAUCACCGUCGUGACUGGGAUUGGGGUUUGUAAUUAUCCCCCAUGAACGAGGAAUUCCUAGUAAGUACAAGUCAUAAGCUUGUGCUGAUUACGUCCCUGCCCUUUGUACACACCGCCCGUCGCUGCUACCGACUGAGUGGUUUAGCGAGGUCGUUGGAUUGAUGCCCGUGUGGUGAAAGCUGCUGGGUGUCGAGAAGACGACCAAACUGCACCUCUUGAAGGAAGCACAAGUCGUAACAAGGUUUCCGUAGGUGAACCUGCGGAAGGAUCAUUA